This 8495-nucleotide long non-coding RNA is filed under the name Gossypium raimondii (Peruvian cotton). Its description in RNAcentral is "long non-coding RNA (GRAI_LNC009689)". Lineage: Eukaryota; Viridiplantae; Streptophyta; Magnoliopsida; Malvales; Malvaceae. The record is from RNAcentral.
UUGUUUAGUCCACACUCCUUCACUUGUAACCCAUAAAUCAAAAGACGUGUCAAUUCCUUCCGUUGGGUAAACAAUAGCACCAAGUGAUCCAUUAAACACCAAUAGAUUAACAUAGUAUUCUGGGAAAGACCCAACGAAUUCUGGGAUAGGUAAAAUUGAGAACUUCUCAUUCCCCAUGUCAAAUGAAAGAAUUAGUCCUCUAAAAUCAAGAUAUGCCCGUCUCUGUUUUCAUAUAGCAAAUUCCGUCUACAUAAUUAUUUCCCAAAGUUGUUCCAGUUGGUUUAUAAUCAGGACAUGGAAUUUCCUUCCAGGAAUUACUUCUAAGAGAAUACAACUCAACUUGGUACAUAAAAUGAGAAUGUGGAUAUUGUUCUUCACUAUUAACAAAAGUAAGAGUAACAAAUCGUAUGACUUUGUAGUCAUCAGUUUUAGAAUCAAACCCAAAAGAAGCGUGGUUAAAUUCAACGUGAUCUAAAGUAAGGUAGGUUUCUUCGAAUGGGGAAAAAUAUGGAGGGCGUUGGAUUGAAGAUGGUGGAAGGAUUUUAAACUCUCUGGUUGAUGGGUUCCAAAUGGCAGCCUUAUCCUUUGAAGGAUCAAGUAAACACAACAAUCCAUGACAAGCACCAUAAACAGAGGGGCGAUCAUUCUUAAAAAAGGGCAAGUGAAUGUUUUGUUUUACUAUAUAAUUUUGAUAUUUUUCAUUUGAAAGUUGAGAGAAAUAACGUUGGAAGGUGUUACCAUCACAGCGACUAAGCAGUAGAUUAAGGUUGUUGUUUUCAAGGUUGUUGUGAUAAUUAUUGGAAAUGAAAUGAGGAGUUUGAAAAGAAGAACACCAAUACUUACAAACACAGUUGAAGCGAGUAAGGGAUUUAACUGGCAGCUUUGACAGAAUUUCCAUAACCAAAGCUUCUGGCAAUUCAAACCUUGGCCUCUGCAUCUUGCUAUUUUGAUUUUCUUUGUAAUUGGGUAAGAGGAAUGAAUAAAAUGGGAGUUGGUAGGUGUCAUCUAUGGUCCAAACCUUAACCAGGAAGCAAAGAAGCAUAAAAGGUAAGCAUUUGAUAGGUUAUAAUAAUUAUAUGGAAUUUAGGAAAAUUUACUUAUUUGCAUUUGUAUCCAUGUGAGGAAGGAUUAAGAUCAAAUAUAAUAUAAUACGUACUUUUUGAAUUUAAUCCCCAAUUUUUAAAAGAAUAAAUUUAAAGGAUAUCACAUUUAUUUACUUUUUGUAUAUUUGAAAUUUAAUACUUAAUUUUUAUUUUAAAGAAUUCAAUCUCUCUAUUUUUUAAAAGCCAAAAACAGUGAUGUAGUUUUUUUUUUCACACGGCAAUCAAAAAAAAAAAUUUAAAGGUAGUUUUUUUUUCUCGUUUCUGCUCUUUUUCUUUUUUUCGUCUGUUCUAUUUUACUUGCGUUUUUUUUUUUGAGUUUUUUCUUUUCUUCUUUCGACAUACAUAUAUCUACAUUUUUUUAAAAAAAAGAACAGUUUAUAUAUAUACAUACACAAAAAAAUAAAAAUAAAAAAACUCACCUUUGAACUUUCCGGACUCGGCUACGUCGGCCGGUGCGGCGGAGACAAGGCGGCCCUUUGGCCGGAAUCUGGAUUUCAUCCAGAGAAAAGAGACCCCCUUUUCCCUUUUUUUGGUUUCUUUACAGACUGCCGGGAAUGAUUUCUUUUCCUCAAAAGUUGUCUUUUAUAGCCCCCCCCCCAACACCCCAGCAAAACGAUGUCGUUUUGGUUGGCGUACUUGAGCAAGAAACGACGUCGUUUUGGCCUUAGGAUCCGCUUGUGACCCGACCCGCAAAGAGGAUCCGCGUGUCACCAUUUAGGGGGAUAUCUUCACAAUUGGUGCCUCCACUUUUGUCUCGCUUUCAAUGUAGUUUUUUCAUAUAUUUUUAAUUUUGGCUACAUAAUUUUUCGUCUGUUUUAAUUUGGUCCCCAGACCAUGCACACGCGCCUCACUAGAACGAUGCCGUUUGGUCAGUUAGGGAGUAUUUCCGUUUUUGCUCCUCUUCCUUUCACGCGUGUUGUGAUUUAGUCCUUUUUGUGCUUUUUAUUGUUAAUUUCGACCCUAAAACCUUGUUUAUUUUCAAUUUAAUCCUUAAUCUGCUAUUUUAGUUAUUUUUCCUGUUAAAUUAAUUAUUUUAACAUUAUUAAAACUAUUAUAUUGCAUAAUUAUUAUUUAUUAUUAAUAUUAUUAUCCUUAUCUCGUUUGUACCUUUUUAUUCUAAAAUUUUGUUAUAUAUAUAUAUACAUAUCCGCAUAUGCUUUUCUAAUAUAUAUAUGUAUAUUUUUAAGGUUAUUAUAAAUAUACUUUUAUAUUUCAUUUUUUAUACUUAUAUCUAUAUCCACGUAUUUUAAUUUAUAUACAUAUAGAUUUUAUAUAUACUUAUUAUAAUUUUUUUAUUGUCAUAAAUACAUACACAUGUACACAUACUUUUAUAUGUUCUUCUAUAUUCCAUAAUUCUUAUAUACAUCCAUAUACAUAUGUAUAUUUUAAUCUACAUACAUAUAUGUAUAUAUACACAUACGACAUAUAUUUCUAUUUUAUAAUUUUAAAAUAAAUAUAUAUAUAUCUAUAUAUUCUUCUUAUUUUUAUAUACACAUGCAUAUAUUUUAUAUUUCCUUUAUUGUUUCGUUGUUUCGCGUAAUGUCAACCUUUUUAUGCCUAUUUUAUUUUAAAAGCAUUUUAAUUCGACUCUUUUAUUUACUAUUUAUCUUACAUUAAUUAAUUUGUCUCUGUAUUUAUUUUGCUACGUACAAAAUCGUGCUACAUUUUACCCGAUUCAUUAAAAAUGAUGUUUUAAACAAGCAAUAUUCAUAUUUUGAAAUUCGAAAAGUCGUUCCCUAACUUACGGGGUUUCGACUUUCUAAAAAAAAUCCAAAUACCGAACAUUUUUAAGCAUAAAUUUUAAAUAAUCUCAAGAAUUACUAAAAGAUCGUGUUCUAACUUAGGGAAUAUGAUUUUUUUCUAAAACCGAUAUAGUCAAACAUCUUUUAAAAUAAAUUUUUCGGCGUUUAUUUGUGCAUCAAGAAUUUAAGACAUUGUGUCCUAAUUCACGGGACGCGAUUCAUUUUCUCGAUUAACGUAAAAUAUGUCCAUUUGUCAACUUUUUAAUAUUUUAACAAGGGAUCGUAUUUUAAAUCUCUUUAAAGUUUUCAAUUUUUGACGAGACACUAAUUAAUCAACUAAGUACCAAUUUUGGGCGCGGGGGUGCUAAUUAGAGGUGAUCAUGGGUUGGGCAGUCCGGCCCGGCCCGAUGGCCCACCCAAAAUAUGAGAGGGUUUGGGUAAAAAUAUAGGCCCGAAAUAUGGGUUUGGGCAAAAAAUGAGGCCCGUUGGCAAAACUUUUUUGGUCCAGGCCUGGCCCGAAUAUAUAAUAAAUAUAUAUUUUUAUUUUUAAAAUACAUUUUCCAUUUCCCCAUUUCCCCAUUUCCCAUUAGACAUUUAGUAUUUAUAUAAUAAAUAUAUAUUUUUUAUUUUUUAAUUUUAAAGUAUUUUUAAAAUACUUCUUUUAUUUUUUAUUUUUAAGAUACAAUUUUGUUGUUUAUUAAAAAAAGGGUCGGGCUCGGGCUUAGGAUUUUUUCUCGGGCCAGGCUUGGACAAAAUUUCAGGCCCAUAUUUUGGGCUAGGCCGGGCCCAGGCCUAGGACGCGGGCCAAAAAAAAAUUUAGGCCUGGCCCAGCCCAUGAUCACCUUUAGUGCUAAUCCUUCCUUGUACGUAACCGACGCCCGAACUCGUGCUUAUGUGGCACGGCACAUAGGCUACUUUGUUGACCUAUGGUUUGACCGACGAUCAACUCACAUUUUCUGUUAAAAUUGGGCUAAUUUAUUAAAAAAUUGUACCGUUAACGGUGUCAAUCCAAAAAAAAAAAGGUUAAUGGCUCAAACCCAAAAACUCAAAAAAUUGAGUGUUUUUUCGACAAUUAUGCGAAAUUCUUUGUUAAAUUUGUUGGUUUGAUAUUCUUUCAAAAGUACAUUAUAAUGCCUUUUUUUUUAACCCAAACCCAAACUUUUGAAAUCAAAUACUAUUUUGAGAGGGAAAAUAUUUGAUUUUUUUUUUUGUUCAAUUGCUUGAAUCUGGUUGGAUAGUUUCUAUUUUCGUUUUAUUAAAUUUCCUUUUUCUCUGUUUGAAGGCGACUUUAAAGAAAAGAGUAACAUGCGAAGGAAUUGCAUUGGACUUUGCAAAGAUCAUAAAACACACAUUAAAAAUAUGUAUUAUUAGUUCUGUUGGACUUAAAGAUUUUGGGUUGUAACACUAGUAGAAAUUAUAUAAAGAAAGAUAUUGAAUGUUAUGGGAUUGGGUUUGGGUUAUUUUAAAUCUAUAUUCAGAUUAAUGUUAUUUUAAAAUCGAAUAAUUUUGAGUUUAAAUCAUUCAAAGUUGUUGAUCGGAUUUUAUAAAGAUAAAAAAACAUAUUGAAAAUAUGUAAUAUUAAUUGGAUUAUUUUAAACUAUGACAUAAAUACUUGAGUCUCAAAAUAAACACUAGCUCAAUAAAACGCAUAUGAUAAUUUAGAGUACUGUAAUAAAAUACAUAUUGAUAAUUCAGAUAUUACAUUAAACAUUUUUAAACAUACAUGAGACAAUUGUGGUAAAGCUGGCUAUGGUAAUUUUAUGGUAUCGGAUCCAUUACUGCAUAGGCCGUAAAAUAAGUUGGAACAAUUUUGGGGAGUUCCAAAGGUAUGGGAUGGCCCCGGUCUUCCAUAACAAAUAAACAUCUCCCCGAGUAGUAGAACUCUAGUUCUUCUGUGUUUACUGCAUGAAAUUUGUGGAGAUGCUCCUAUAAGUCGGAAAACUAUGUCCGCAACUUGUCGGACCGUAUAGGUGGAUCUAGGUGUGAGUCCCAUAGCUAAAUCCCAAAAUUCAUUAAAACAAAUAAGAGACAAUAAAGUAUAUUAAACACAAAUCUGAAUGUGAAGAAAAAAUAAAAACAAUUUAUUCGAUAUACCCGGAUCUAAAUUUGUCCUAAGUUGUAUGGCCGAUUGGAAGUAUGCCAGAGGAUAUGGUGCAAAGUCGGAACAUGUGCCAUGUUUUGUCCAUUCGUUGUGCAAAAAGCUAAUGUCUAACUUUCCCAAUAUCAAGUUUGGCCAUAGUCGGGGCAAGUCUACCCAAAGAACUGGAUCACUUUUCAGCAAACUCUUUGAAAUUAAAAACAAAAAUCUGGUUAGAUGACAGAUAAUUUACUUAAUAGUUUUAGGCGAAGAAUGUACGUAUGCGUACUUCGAGUUUCUUCUUAUCUAGAUUAGGAUUCGGAUUGUUGCAAAGAUUACUUGGACCAUACUGGGUCACCGGCUUGUCAUUAGCAUCUUGUGCCCAAAUUCCAUGUAUUGUAAAUUCUGUUGGGAUAGGGGUUUUACAUCUCGAAGUAGAGCUGCAAACUGAUGGAGGCCAUUGAAGUGCCAGCUUGUAGAAGUGCGGAAUUGCUGGUUGCUGAGGUACUGCAAAUGCUACCCAUAAUGAAAAAUUGAUACAAUGCAUUUUUACAAAUUUACAAAUAAAAAGAGAACUACUCCAUAUAUAAAUAUUACAUGCAUGGAUGAUUGGGCUGAGAUUGGAUGAUUGUGCUUUGCGAGUAGCUGGUUUAUGAUCUCCUUUAUAAUCUUGGCGCACAUAUUUCACAAAAUUUUCAAAGUCCUGCAACCAUGAAAUAAAUAUUGAGGUUACUUAUCACAAAGUGUUACUUCACAAUCACACCAAGAGAGAAAUAAACAAACUCACUUGUCUGAGUGGCUGAUUAUUCACCACCACCCAUGGCACAUCUUCUUGAGGUGGCUUCAGAUGUGCAGUCUCGUUAGCAUAUUGCAGCAGAAGCUGCAUUUCAUUAAUUUGGAAAAUCAAUGUUAGAAAAAGCUAAGAAGUGUUAAUUAAAUACUAAGACAUGCAGCCAACCUUAUAUCCAAAUCCAGUAGUAUAGCAUUUGUUGAUUAUCUCCUCAUUCAAUCUCAGCUUUUCACUGCAAUUUUUCCACAGUGCUUCAACGGGCCCCCCCUUUAAGCUUUGUUGCUCUGUGCAGCGAAUGAAUUCCAAGUGCUCUUUCUGCACCACAGUAGAGUAAUUAAACACGAGUUGGAGAUGAGUACAAAUACUUAUGGCUCAUAGCAGUUACUGCAUCAGGCCAUAAAUGGAUGACACAACUAUGUAUAGUGUUUAAGUGACGUUCUUCUUCUCCAUGUUGCACAUUAUCGCAAAAACUAUAAUUAGUUAUAACACCAAAAAGAACUAGAACUUCAUUAGUUAAUAAUGAUAAUACAUUAAAAUGAAGAACGGAGUAGUAAACCUGGCAAUGGAUUUCAGCAUUGCCCCAAGGGACCAAUCUUAGAUUGGUAAUGGUAUGGAGGUCAGUGCGGAAGACCUUGACUAGGCUAUUGGAGAUAAGCGAGAAUAUUGCAAGAGCAGCCAGAAUAUAGAAGAUUAAUGGUUGAAGAUAAGCCAUUGUUUCAGUGGUAGCUUUUGCACAAUGCUAGACCUCCAUUGUGCAAGGCUUCUUAUAGUUGAGAAUUGGGAUGCUGAGUAUUGCUUUCUGUCACGUUCAGAAACCAUGAGACAAAUUUACAAAGUUAUCAUCUUUAAAAAAACAAUUAUACACCACUUUAAAAAAAAAUUAUUUACAUGAAAGCUUGUUUAUCUAUUUAUGUAUGAAUAUUGUCUAAACAUGAAAGGAGAAAUCUUAUUAGAUAAUAGAGUUUUAUAAUAACUUAUAAUUUAAAUUAAGUUAUUAACGUAUUUACUGAAUCAUUGGCCUUCUAAAAUGCUUUUAGAUAUCAAAUCCUCUUCGACUUGCAAUUUUUUUCUGCAGAAAACAAUAUCAACAUCUAAGCAAUCUUAUAGAUAUCUAAGCAACAAAAACCAAACAUAAACUGAACAAUUCUCCAAAUACAGAAACCAGGAAAUAGUUAACAUCUCAAACAUAUAACCCAAACAAUUAUAGCAAUAUUAAGAAGCUCACAACAAAAAAUUCCUAUUACAUCUUACACAUAUAUGUUCCAGCUCCACAUCCCUCUUCAUAUUCAGUAUCCAUUUCAUGCCUUCUUCAUAUUUAGUAUUCAUUUGAUGCAUCUCUCGCUGGUUGACGUAUUACAUGUUUCUCAAUAUUCUCUUGUAUUCCAUUGAUACGAACCAGGCUCUCUAAAUAAGCAUGAAGGGAGAUGGUGAACCGAAAAUGAUCUAGGUAAGUAUUAAUCUCAAGCUCCUUAAGCUCUUGGGUGGAGGCGUCAAAUAGGAGUACUUCAUCAUUUGUGUCUGUAAGAAACAAGUCACCAUUUUUUCCAAAUCCCAAUGGGUGUACAACUCCAGAAAUGGAUUGUUUAGUCCACACUCCUUCACUUGUAACCCAUAAAUCAAAAGACGUGUCAAUUCUUUCCGUUGGGUAAACAAUAGCACCAAGUGAUCCAUUAAACACCAACAGAUUAACAUAGUAUUCUGGGAAAGACCCAACGAAUUCUGGGAUAGGUAAAAUUGAGAACUUCUCAUUCCCCAUGUCAAAUGAAAGAAUUAGUCCUCUAAAAUCAAGAUAUGCCCGUCUCUGUUUUCAUAUAGCAAAUUCCGUCUACAUAAUUAUUUCCCAAAGUUGUUCCAGUUGGUUUAUAAUCAGGACAUGGAAUUUCCUUCCAGGAAUUACUUCUAAGAGAAUACAACUCAACUUGGUACAUAAAAUGAGAAUGUGGAUAUUGUUCUUCACUAUUAACAAAAGUAAGAGUAACAAAUCGUAUGACUUUGUAGUCAUCAGUUUUAGAAUCAAACCCAAAAGAAGCGUGGUUAAAUUCAACGUGAUCUAAAGUAAGGUAGGUUUCUUCGAAUGGGGAAAAAUAUGGAGGGCGUUGGAUUGAAGAUGGUGGAAGGAUUUUAAACUCUCUGGUUGAUGGGUUCCAAAUGGCAGCCUUAUCCUUUGAAGGAUCAAGUAAACACAACAAUCCAUGACAAGCACCAUAAACAGAGGGGCGAUCAUUCUUAAAAAAGGGCAAGUGAAUGUUUUGUUUUACUAUAUAAUUUUGAUAUUUUUCAUUUGAAAGUUGAGAGAAAUAACGUUGGAAGGUGUUACCAUCACAGCGACUAAGCAGUAGAUUAAGGUUGUUGUUUUCAAGGUUGUUGUGAUAAUUAUUGGAAAUGAAAUGAGGAGUUUGAAAAGAAGAACACCAAUACUUACAAACACAGUUGAAGCGAGUAAGGGAUUUAACUGGAAGCUUUGACAGAAUUCCCAUAACCAAAGCUUCUGGCAAUUCAAAUCUUGGCCUCUGCAUCUUGCUAUUUUGAUUUUCUUUGUAAUUGGGUAAGAGGAAUGAAUAAGCAAGCAAAAUGGGAGUUGGUAUGGUCCAAACCUUAACCAGGAAGCAAAGAAGCAUAAAAGGUAAGCAUUUGAUAGGUUAUAAAAAUUAUAUGGAAUUUAGGAAAAUUUACUUAUUUGCAUUUGUAUCCAUGUGAGGAAGGAUUAAGAUCAAAUAUAAUAUAAUACAUACUUUUUGAAUUUAAUCCCCAAUUUUUAAAAGAUUAAAUUUAAAGGAUAUCAC